UGUAAAGAUUAAAAUUUUUGUUGGCAGCGAGGUUAAGCCACAAGUCUUGACGGACCCAGAUCCAGCUCAAGCACAAGGCUACCAGGCUUUCAGUUGCGUGACUUACUGUCAUUGGAUUUUAUACUAAUAAUAUCGCCCUUAUCAUGUCUGGAAGAGAAGGAGGUAAAAAGAAACCAUUGAAGGCGCCUAAAAAGGAAAACAAAGAAUUGGAUGAUGAUGAUAAGGCCAAUCUUCAAAAAAGAAGAGAAGAGGAAAAAGCAUUGAAAGAACUGGCUGCAAAGGCCGCUAAGGGACCACUGGGUGGAGGAGGUAUCAAGAAAUCCGGAAAGAAAUAAUUAUCUAAAAUUGUUGACCAACAAAAUUUUGAAUACAAAAGUGCUCACAUGUAUUUCUGAUUGCCUUCUUACUCAAAAUACAUCAGAGAUUUAAAAGCAUA
This is a long non-coding RNA of Daphnia carinata, 436 nucleotides long. RefSeq lists it as uncharacterized. The transcript has 5 exons. Lineage: Eukaryota; Metazoa; Arthropoda; Branchiopoda; Diplostraca; Daphniidae. The record is from RefSeq and is a predicted model, not a curated record.